Jatropha curcas is the source of this 727-nucleotide long non-coding RNA. RefSeq lists it as uncharacterized. NCBI's taxonomy places the organism in Eukaryota, Viridiplantae, Streptophyta, Magnoliopsida, Malpighiales, Euphorbiaceae. The record is from RefSeq and is a predicted model, not a curated record.
UUUUUAUUUGAAUGGCCAUUCAGUUCACUUCAGAACUUCAAAUUACUGAGAUCAUAUUACUGUGCUCAAAGCACCUCGUUGUCAUCUCUCUUUCAGGUUAACCUUCUACCUGUCUAUACCACUGCUAUGCUUUGGCAAUCUGAAACCCUAGCUUCCCAAUUUUUUCCGUCUUUUUUUAUUUGAAUGGCCAUUCAGUUCACUUCAGAACUUCAAAUUACUGAGAUCAUAUUACUGUGCUCAAAGCACCUCGUUGUCAUCUCUCUUUCAGGUUAACCUUCUACCUGUCUAUACCACUGCUAUGCUUUGGCAAUCUGAAACCCUAGCUUCCCAAUUUUUUCCGUCUUUUUUUAUUUGAAUGGCCAUUCAGUUCACUUCAGAACUUCAAAUUACUGAGAUCAUAUUACUGUGCUCAAAGCACCUCGUUGUCAUCUCUCUUUCAGGUUAACCUUCUACCUGUCUAUACCACUGCUAUGCUUUGGCAAUCUGAAACCCUAGCUUCCCAAAGGUGAUGCAGGUGAAUGGAAAUUAAAUGAGUAAAAAGAAUUGGAAAUCAUCCAAUGCUUGGCUAGAGAUGUUGCUUACAUGCAGGAGAACUAUAAAGUGAUUUAAUCAGGUAAAAUGCGGUAGGAAUCUCUACAAAAUAUUCUCGCUGUUUUGUUUAGAAUCCUUAUCAUUCCAAAAUCCUGAAAGUUCUGUCAAUAGCUAAUUUAAUUCCUUGCUUUUUCUA